This 203-nucleotide ribosomal RNA is filed under the name Lacisediminihabitans profunda. RNAcentral's name for it is "Bacterial small subunit ribosomal RNA". It matches the Rfam family "Bacterial small subunit ribosomal RNA", at positions 546 to 749 of the family's 1533-position model. The record is from Rfam by way of RNAcentral. Lineage: Bacteria; Bacillati; Actinomycetota; Actinomycetes; Micrococcales; Microbacteriaceae.
CGGAAUUAUUGGGCGUAAAGGGAGCGCAGGCGGGAAACUAAGCGGAUCUUAAAAGUGCGGGGCUCAACCCCGUGAUGGGGUCCGAACUGGUUUUCUUGAGUGCAGGAGAGGAAAGCGGAAUUCCCAGUGUAGCGGUGAAAUGCGUAGAUAUUGGGAAGAACACCAGUGGCGAAGGCGGCUUUCUGGACUGUAACUGACGCUGA